Molecule: long non-coding RNA, 715 nt
Filed under: Pan troglodytes (chimpanzee)
Lineage: Eukaryota; Metazoa; Chordata; Mammalia; Primates; Hominidae
Description: lncRNA (ENSPTRG00000052950.1)
Source: RNAcentral
GAGUUCUAAUUCAAUCUAUAGAAUUAACAAAACCUACGUAUUCUUUUUGUACUCUGUAUUUCUAGAAAUGUUGGAGGAGCUUCAAUGAGUGAGAAACUGUGAGUUACCUGCAAAAGAUAAAAGCAAAACAGAAUGCAUUGAUGAAGAUAAUUCAAUCAGCAUGCACAGCAUAGAAUUGUUAUAGAUUGGGUAACUUCAUCAAGACUUCUCCAUGACUGAAGGUGGUAGAUUCUCAAGGAUCUGGACCAAGAUAGGAUUACUGAAUAUCUCAAGAACAAUCAAGAAUGUAAGAAAAUAUCAUUGUCUGUUAAGACUCCAUCGCAGAGAAGUUAAAGAGCUUCAAUCACCAUGCUUUCAGGGUCAAUUUGUCUCCGAAAAGGAACAGAUGGGGAAGAAUUAUUCCAUUCACAGUUGACUUGUCAGAAAUUCUAAGAUCUUGGACUGGCUGAAAGCAAUGAUGUUGCCAUUCAUCCUUUCACGUAUUCAUUAUGGUCUACAGCUGAGAAGGGCUAUUUGGGGUUUGCUUUGCCUGAUGGUAGCAGAAGAAAACCAAGAGGCCUCUCUACGAAAGCUUGCAGUAAGGAGAAAGGUAAAAUGUUAAGUCUAAAGAGAACCAAAGAAAUUACCUGGUCCAACCUUUUCAUUCUACAAGUGGGAAAACUUGCUGAAAGUUGCUUAAUUUUUCUGGAUCUGAGGCACACAGUUCAUUUAUUAU